UAGUUCCGUCACUACAUAUGAAAAUUUUUCGUCGCAAAAAUUGGAGACGAAUGACUAAUUGUCCCUAAAUUAAAGAAAUUUUCUUAUCAUUGGAGACGGAAAUUUUCCAUUGCAAAUUGGGGGCGGAUAAUUAAAUGUCCCUAAAUUAAAAAUCCGAGACCCCUUCCCGCGCGCACUCAAAUCUCAAACAAUUUGAUGAGUUUUGAGAAAUCGUUCCCGAUCAAAACGAUAGAGUGCUUCUUCACCCUUCUCUUUGUGCAGAGAGAGAGGAAAAGAGUUUCCGCCCUAGCUUUGGACACAGCAGAAAACCCUGCUCUUCGCGCAUAGAGAGAAGAGCCCAGAUCCGCCUCUGCCCUUGGUUCUGAACACAGAAAACCCUGCUCUUCGCGCAUAGAUAGAAGAGACCAGAUCCACCUCCGCCCUGGUUCUGAACACAGAAAACCAUGCUAUUUGCCACAAGAAGGAGCUACCCCUCCGCCCAAAUCGUUACUUUGUGGGCUUUCUUCACCAAAAUUUCUGGUACCUAUUCUCUGUUUCUCCUGAUUUGAUGCUUUUAUGCUAUAUAGGGUUUUAAGGAUCCUCCAAGUGUUGGUUGGGUUUGUAAUGGACUAGCUGUACUGGGGGAUUAAUGUCAACGGACUUCGCCACAUUGGGUGGAACUUCAUCAUAGAUUUUUGAGUUUCCGAUAGUGUUUAUGUGAGAGUAACCGAUGACGAUUCUGAAUUGGCUGUGGUUGGAUCACUAAAUUCAUAGCUGGGGUGGGAUUUAAAGCUAAUAUAUUUGAUUUUAUUUUUUUCCAUUUGUAUUUUCCAAUUGUAGAUCAGAGUGAUGUAGACAAUGAGGGCAAACAUGUAAUCUAACUCUCAAUGUGCUUUCAUAUUUUGGUGGAAACUCUUGUA
Long non-coding RNA from Macadamia integrifolia, 899 nucleotides. RefSeq lists it as uncharacterized. NCBI's taxonomy places the organism in Eukaryota, Viridiplantae, Streptophyta, Magnoliopsida, Proteales, Proteaceae. The record is from RefSeq and is a predicted model, not a curated record. The transcript is spliced from 4 exons.